AAUGAACGCUGGCGGCAGGCCUAACACAUGCAAGUCGAACGAAGCCUUCGGGCUUAGUGGCGGACGGGUGAGUAACGCGUGGGAACAUACCCAAAGGUACGGAAUAGCCUCGGGAAACUGGGAGUAAUACCGUAUGUGCCCUUAUGCUGUAGUGGUGUAAGGGGAAAGAUUUAUCGCCUUUGGAUUGGCCCGCGUUGGAUUAGGUAGUUGGUGGGGUAAUGGCCUACCAAGCCGACGAUCCAUAGCUGGUUUGAGAGGAUGAUCAGCCACACUGGGACUGAGACACGGCCCAGACUCCUACGGGAGGCAGCAGUGGGGAAUCUUAGACAAUGGGCGCAAGCCUGAUCUAGCCAUGCCGCGUGAUCGAUGAAGGCCUUAGGGUUGUAA
RNAcentral lists this ribosomal RNA (387 nucleotides) under uncultured bacterium. Its description in RNAcentral is "bacterial SSU rRNA". It matches the Rfam family "Bacterial small subunit ribosomal RNA", at positions 29 to 428 of the family's 1533-position model. The record is from RNAcentral.